GUCACUUUGCCGGAGUGGUUAACGGGAUCGCCUGCUACUUGUAGCUGUUAGCGGUUGGGCUUUGCCCGCGAGUGUUCGAAUCGCUCAGGUGACG
This 94-nucleotide transfer RNA is filed under the name Trametes pubescens. RNAcentral describes it as "tRNA-Ser". It matches the Rfam family "tRNA". From Rfam's summary of the family: Transfer RNA (tRNA) molecules are approximately 80 nucleotides in length. Their secondary structure includes four short double-helical elements and three loops (D, anti-codon, and T loops). The record is from RNAcentral. Lineage: Eukaryota; Fungi; Basidiomycota; Agaricomycetes; Polyporales; Polyporaceae.